UUCAUUCCUACUAUUCACAUCAGUACUACUACUACUUCUACUACUACUACUACUACUACUACUACUACUACUACUACUACUACUACUACUACUACUACUGCUGUUACUUUUUUUUAUUUAUUUUUUUCUUCUCGCUUGUAUCAUGGUCAUUUUUUCCUCUUCUUCCUCCUCCUCCUCCUCCUCCUCCUCCUCCUCCUCCUCUUCCUCUUCGCGUCCUCUCCUCUUCGUCCUCCUUCUCACCUUGAUGUCUGUUCUCUGCAGCGUGACGAGUGAGGGUGUGUGUGAGUGUGGGGUGUUCCUGAGUGAGGGGCAAGGGGGCCAAGAGAUCACGACCCUCUCCCAGCCCCUCCCCCUCCCUUCCUGCGCUUCCUACAUCGCCUGCAGGAGGGAGUGUGUCCAGCAGUUCGCGGCGUGGCGGGGGGACAUGGCUCAGCUGUUGCCUGAAGGUGUACCGGUGGGCCAGCUGCUGUGUGGCCUCCUGGCUGCUCAGGGCCGCCCUCACCUGCCGCCCCACCAGGUGCAUCUCUACCUGAGUGUGUGUGGCGGGCCUUGGCAAUACACGGAGGCCAGCGUCCCUGAGCCCCUGUGCUGCGUCGCGGGGGCCUUCUCCUCCUGCAGGGGCGGCGGGGCAGGCAGGGUGGGACGGGGCAGGCGUCUCUCCUCCCCAGCUCUCGUCCUCCCCCGCCCCUCCGCCGCUGCCGCCGCCGCCUCCGUCGAUGUGUUUGUGCCUACCUCCUCCCAUGACGCUCCUCGCUCCUUAUCUAUGUAGAGAGAGAGAGAGAGAGAGAGAGAGAGAGAGAGAGAGAGAGAGAGAGAGAGAGAGAGAUCUAAAGAAAGGAGGUAAUAAGCAAAGGGAAGAGAAAAGAAAGGAAUAAAGGAAAAAAAAUUACA
Molecule: long non-coding RNA, 891 nt
Organism: Scylla paramamosain (green mud crab)
Lineage: Eukaryota; Metazoa; Arthropoda; Malacostraca; Decapoda; Portunidae
Exons: 4
Source: RefSeq, a predicted model, not a curated record